RNAcentral lists this unclassified non-coding RNA (242 nucleotides) under Hevea brasiliensis (rubber tree). The record is from RNAcentral. Lineage: Eukaryota; Viridiplantae; Streptophyta; Magnoliopsida; Malpighiales; Euphorbiaceae.
UCACUCAUUUUCUUGUAGAAGAGGCAGUAAAUCAUAUCAUCCAAGGACAAGACUUUGUUCAAAACUUAGACAUGGUGAUCUGAAUGUCACACUUCAAAGUCUACUGCGUCAAUGCUCAGAAAUUCAUAGCACGGUUAGUGACAACAUUGAUGAACUACUUGACGAAGAGGACGAGUUAUGUCCUGUUGAAUGUGUAAGAGAAUUUAAGACUGAUGAGGAAUUCUCCAUAAUAUUGGAAAAGG